GCAUAUCAAUAAGCGGAGGAAAAGAAACCAACAGGGAUUGCCCUUAGUAACGGCGAAGUGAAGCGGCAACAGCUCAAAUUUGAAAUCUGGCCUCACGGUCCGAAUUGUAAUUUGUAGAGGAUGUUUCUGGCGACGUGUCUUCCGAGUUCCCUGGAACGGGACGCCAUAGAGGGUGAGAGCCCCGUCCGGUCGUACACCUAGCCUCUGUGAAACUCCUUCGACGAGUCGAGUAGUUUGGGAAUGCUGCUCUAAAUGGGAGGUAUACGUCUUCUAAAGCUAAAUACCGGCCAGAGACCGAUAGCGCACAAGUAGAGUGAUCGAAAGAUGAAAAGCACUUUGAAAAGAGGGUUAAAUAGUACGUGAAAUUGCUGAAAGGGAAGCGCUUAUGACCAGACUUGGGCUCGGUGAAUCAUCCGGCGUUCUCGCCGGUGCACUUUGCCGUCCCAGGCCAGCAUCAGUUCGCGCCGGGGGAUAAAGGUUUCGGGAAUGUAGCUCCUUCGGGAGUGUUAUAGCCCGUUGCGUAAUACCCUGGCGUGGACUGAGGUCCGCGCUCUGCAAGGAUGCUGGCGUAAUGGUCAUCAGUGACCCGUCUUGAAACACGGACCAAGGAGUCGUCUUCGUAUGCGAGUGUUCGGGUGUCAAACCCCUACGCGUAAUGAAAGUGAACGUAGGAGAGAGCUUCGGCGCAUCUCCGACCGAUCCUGAUGUUCUCGGAUGGAUUUGAGUAAGAGCAUACGGGGCCGGACCCGAAAGAAGGUGAACUAUGCCUGUAUAGGGUGAAGCCAGAGGAAACUCUGGUGGAGGCUCGCAGCGGUUCUGACGUGCAAAUCGAUCGUUCAAAUAAUGGGCAUGGGGGCGAAAGACUAAUCGAACCUUCUAGUAGCUGGUUUCCGCCGAAGUC
RNAcentral lists this ribosomal RNA (901 nucleotides) under Acremonium sclerotigenum. Its description in RNAcentral is "LSU rRNA". It matches the Rfam family "Eukaryotic large subunit ribosomal RNA", at positions 38 to 968 of the family's 3401-position model. Lineage: Eukaryota; Fungi; Ascomycota; Sordariomycetes; Hypocreales; Bionectriaceae. The record is from RNAcentral.